RNAcentral lists this long non-coding RNA (219 nucleotides) under Panax ginseng (ginseng). Its description in RNAcentral is "long non-coding RNA (PGIN_LNC001243)". The record is from RNAcentral. Lineage: Eukaryota; Viridiplantae; Streptophyta; Magnoliopsida; Apiales; Araliaceae.
AGAAUUUCGGAUAGCAGAGCUUAUUGUUAUCUAGGGCUAAUAAUUUCAUUGAAGGAAAAAUAAUAAUUACUUGAUUAAUUGAUUGUUGUACUUGGUGAAACUGAACUGCAGAACUGAAGUUUUACAUAUUUGGUUAAUUUUAUCGUUAAUUCUUGUUCUCUUAGUUUAAAAAAUAAUUUUCAAAACCCCCAUCUUUAUUUUCUGUUAAAAUAGUAGAAU